Molecule: ribosomal RNA, 253 nt
Filed under: uncultured bacterium
Lineage: Bacteria
Description: partial 16S ribosomal RNA
Rfam family: Bacterial small subunit ribosomal RNA
Source: RNAcentral
GACAGAGGUCCCGAGCGUUAGGCGGAAUCACUGGGCUUAAAGCGUGUGUAGGCGGAUCGUUAAGUGCCUUGUGAAAUCCCACGGCUUAACCGUGGAACUGCUUGGCAUACUGGCGGUCUUGAGCAACCUAGGGGCAAGCGGAACAAAUGGUGGAGCGGUGAAAUGCGUAGAUAUCGGGAGGAACACCAGUGGCGAAGGCGGCGACCUGGACGGACACUGACGCUGAGACGCGAAAGCGUGGGGAGCAAACAGG